Molecule: non-coding RNA, 139 nt
Filed under: Micromonospora krabiensis
Lineage: Bacteria; Bacillati; Actinomycetota; Actinomycetes; Micromonosporales; Micromonosporaceae
Source: RNAcentral
AAGAGGGAACCCGGUGCGAGUCCGGGACUGCCCCGCAGCGGUGAGUGGGAACGACCGCCGUCAUGACGCACUGGGCCGCGCAGGCCUGGGAAGCGACGGCCAGUAGGAGCGAGCAGGACGCCCACGAGUCCGAAGACCU